Molecule: ribosomal RNA, 500 nt
Filed under: uncultured bacterium
Lineage: Bacteria
Description: partial 16S ribosomal RNA
Rfam family: Bacterial small subunit ribosomal RNA
Source: RNAcentral
AUUGAACGCUGGCGGCAUGCCUUACACAUGCAAGUCGAACGGCAGCACGGGAGCAUUCCUGGUGGCGAGUGGCGAACGGGUGAGUAAUAUAUCGGAACGUGCCCAGUCGUGGGGGAUAACGCAGCGAAAGCUGUGCUAAUACCGCAUACGAUCUACGGAUGAAAGCGGGGGAUCGCAAGACCUCGCGCGAUUGGAGCGGCCGAUAUCAGAUUAGCUAGUUGGUGGGGUAAAGGCCCACCAAGGCGACGAUCUGUAGCUGGUCUGGGAGGACGACCAGCCACACUGGAACUGAGACACGGUCCAGACUCCUACGGGAGGCAGCAGUGGGGAAUUUUGGACAAUGGGCGCAAGCCUGAUCCAGCAAUGCCGCGUGCAGGAUGAAGGCCUUCGGGUUGUAAACUGCAUUUGUACGGAACGAAACGGCCCUUUCUAAUACAGGGGGCUAAUGACGGUACCGUAAGAAUAAGCACCGGCUAACUACGUGCCAGCCGCCGCGGUAA